UACAGAGGUGGCAAGCGUUGUUCGGCAUUACUGGGCGUAAAGGGCGCGUAGGCGGCCUCUUAAGUCGAACGUGAAAUCCCCGGGCUCAACCCGGGAACUGCGUCCGAUACUGGGGGGCUUGAAUCCGGGAGAGGGAUGUGGAAUUCCAGGUGUAGCGGUGAAAUGCGUAGAUAUCUGGAGGAACACCGGUGGCGAAGGCGGCAUCCUGGACCGGUAUUGACGCGGAGGCGCGAAAGCCAGGGGAGCAAACGGG
This 253-nucleotide ribosomal RNA is filed under the name uncultured bacterium. RNAcentral describes it as "partial 16S ribosomal RNA". It matches the Rfam family "Bacterial small subunit ribosomal RNA", at positions 524 to 776 of the family's 1533-position model. The record is from RNAcentral.